AUUAUUAUUAUUAUUAUUAUUACAACCACCACCACCACCACCAGGUCCACCACCACCAAUGUACACAAACAGAGUUAUAUUAUAAUACACAACCGCUCAGCGUAUUGGAGUGCUGGCGAAGGAGUGGACCGAUUUUUGUAGAGCUCGAUGAUGUCGACGUUUGUUAUACUUUUUGUUUUGACGCUUAUUUCUAUUUUUACUCUGAUUUUUUUUUUUUGUUCUUUUUUCCUUUGAUUUUUCGCCUUUUCUGAGAUCUUAACUGUCUCACUUUACGUAGCUAAAUUUAUUUAUCUAAUAAAUGAAAUAGCUAGCAUGCUACCUUUCUCUCUCUCUCAAA
RNAcentral lists this long non-coding RNA (337 nucleotides) under Ananas comosus (pineapple). RNAcentral's name for it is "long non-coding RNA (ACOM_LNC020553)". Lineage: Eukaryota; Viridiplantae; Streptophyta; Magnoliopsida; Poales; Bromeliaceae. The record is from RNAcentral.